Long non-coding RNA from Amphiprion ocellaris (clown anemonefish), 609 nucleotides. The record is from Ensembl. Lineage: Eukaryota; Metazoa; Chordata; Actinopteri; Pomacentridae.
CGUUACCAGGCUUUGCAGAUGGAAGAAGGUGAAUACGGGACAAUGAAGACUUGAACAGGAAGUCACAACAGUCUUCAGGAGCGUGAGGAGAAUCAGCCUUUGCAUGCACAAAUAGAAACGACUUUGGACUAAAAAAACCAAGACAACUGGCCCUACAGGACGUCAGCCAAGAAGCAGUGAAAGAGGACUGUAGCGAUCAGCUGAUGAAGAUUGCCGUCAUCCAUCCGAAUGUGGCAGAGGAAAACCAAGAUCCUGUGUAUGUCUCGGUCAUCAUUGAGGGGACAGAAGUUCUGGAGGACUGCGGAAGUGUGACAAAUGCUUGCCUCUUGCUCAUGGGUGUCAUUUAUGCUGUCAACUUAAGGUAUCCAUUGAAAGUGAAAUAUAUGUUUGAAGUUUUUCAGAAGCUGUUUCUUGAGCGUGACAACCUUAAAAUGUCACCAAAGGUCCAGUCUCUCCGCAAGAAGCUUAUGUGUGUGAGUGUUCCAGUGUUUGAGUUUUUGUCUAGCACAAACAGUUUGAUAACAUUUUGUGUCUGUGAUUUCAAGUUUCAUGAAAGUUUUUGUCCCAUAAGUAGUUUUAAAAAUUUGUUAGUAGGAAGUUGUAUGGCCA